This 446-nucleotide ribosomal RNA is filed under the name uncultured bacterium. RNAcentral's name for it is "partial 16S ribosomal RNA". It matches the Rfam family "Bacterial small subunit ribosomal RNA", at positions 338 to 795 of the family's 1533-position model. The record is from RNAcentral.
CCUACGGGUGGCAGCAGUCGAGAAUCAUUCACAAUGGGGGAAACCCUGAUGGUGCGACGCCGCGUGGGGGAAUGAAGGUCUUCGGAUUGUAAACCCCUGUCAUGUGGGAGCAAAUUAAAAAGAUAGUACCACAAGAGGAAGAGACGGCUAACUCUGUGCCAGCAGCCGCGGUAAUACAGAGGUCUCAAGCGUUGUUCGGAAUCACUGGGCGUAAAGCGUGCGUAGGCUGUUUCGUAAGUCGUGUGUGAAAGGCGCGGGCUCAACCCGCGGACGGCACAUGAUACUGCGAGACUAGAGUAAGGGAGGGGGAACCGGAAUUCUCGGUGUAGCAGGGAAAUGCGUAGAUAUCGAGAGGAACACUCGUGGCGAAGGCGGGUUCCUGGACAUUAACUGACGCUGAGGCACGAAGGCCAGGGGAGCGAAAGGGAUUAGAUACCCGGGUAGUC